CGGCGAACGGGUGAGUAAUACAUCGGAACGUGUCCCGGUAUGGGGGGAUAGCCCGGCGAAAGCCGGAUUAAUACCGCAUAUGCUCUACGGAGGAAAGUGGGGGACUCGCAAGGGGCCUCACGCUAUGGGAGCGGCCGAUGUCCGAUUAGCUUGUUGGCGGGGUAAUGGCCCACCAAGGCGACGAUCGGUAGCUGGUCUGAGAGGGCGCACGGCCACACUGGAACUGAAACACGGUCCAG
This 239-nucleotide ribosomal RNA is filed under the name uncultured bacterium. Its description in RNAcentral is "partial 16S ribosomal RNA". It matches the Rfam family "Bacterial small subunit ribosomal RNA", at positions 96 to 334 of the family's 1533-position model. The record is from RNAcentral.